This 329-nucleotide unclassified non-coding RNA is filed under the name soil metagenome. Its description in RNAcentral is "partial contains 5.8S ribosomal RNA, internal transcribed spacer 2, and large subunit ribosomal RNA". The stretch from base 1 to 120 matches the Rfam family "5.8S ribosomal RNA", at positions 35 to 154 of the family's 154-position model. The record is from RNAcentral.
GAUGAAGAACGUAGCGAAAUGCGAUAAGUAGUGUGAAUUGCAGAAUUCCGUGAAUCAUCGAAUCUUUGAACGCACAUUGCGCCCCCUGGUAUUCCGGGGGGCAUGCCUGUCCGAGCGUCAUUACAACCCUCAAGCUCAGCUUGGUGUUGGGCCCCGCCGCCCCGGCGGGCUCUAAAGUCAGUGGCGGUGCCGUCCGGCUCCGAGCGUAGUAAUUCUUCUCGCUCUGGAGGUCCGGUCGUGUGCUCGCCAGCAACCCCCAAUUUUUUUCAGGUUGACCUCGGAUCAGGUAGGGAUACCCGCUGAACUUAAGCAUAUCAAUAAGCGGAGGA